Molecule: long non-coding RNA, 463 nt
Organism: Hemicordylus capensis (graceful crag lizard)
Lineage: Eukaryota; Metazoa; Chordata; Lepidosauria; Squamata; Cordylidae
Exons: 3
Source: RefSeq, a predicted model, not a curated record
CUUCCCCUAGCCAAUGUGGGGUCAGUCAGCCCUGGCAACACAAGAUUUGAAUGGAAACGAGCGAAUCUGGAACCAGAAGGGAAUUGCCAGACAAUCGUUGCACACUGUCUUUUUGCAGUCGUGGUCCCCCUAACCCCAUAGACCUUAAUGCUUCGCCAACCGUGGAUUGCCAACAGGAGUGAUAUCUGAUUCUUCUGCUUGUUUGAAGCUUGCCAGAGAGGAAGAAGGGGAAACACCAGGAAAUAAGAAGAGUAAACCAGGGGCCCUCUUGUAGAGCUAUGACUAACCACAAUGGGUACUGAUGGAAAUGUUUCAUGUGGUGGAAUUAAGGAUAUUCACCCUAAAUUACAAACCUUUUUCUACAGCUGAAUUUGACAUUUUAGCACAUAGAGGUAGGAAGUAAAAGACCCACAUCCAGAAGUGAAGUUUAGAUGAAAUAUAAGUUUAGAUGAAAUAUUAUUCU